Oncorhynchus keta (chum salmon) is the source of this 2720-nucleotide long non-coding RNA. RefSeq lists it as uncharacterized. The record is from RefSeq and is a predicted model, not a curated record. NCBI's taxonomy places the organism in Eukaryota, Metazoa, Chordata, Actinopteri, Salmoniformes, Salmonidae. The transcript is spliced from 9 exons.
GUUUGUAACUUGUCCGAAUCAAGACUGGACCUCUACAGUUGCCAUAGCCAAACGUCACUUUGGAGCGAAAGAUUUCAAACGGCUCCUUUGAGGAAGACUUGAGGGCCGAAAUGUUGUCGUUUCUCUCAUAACAGUGUACAAUUUAGCCAGCUGUUUUUAAAUAGAGCGUUUUGUGGACUGUUCACAGUCCCUGGUCUAAAGAUGAAAGGCUUGGAAAUGUCCGCUAUGAUACCUGCACUGCAGGAGCUCGCGAGAACAUGAGAACAUAUGAAAGCUGGUGGUUCCUUUCAACGUGAGUCUUCAAUAUUCCCAGGUAAAAAGUUUUAGGUUGUAGUUAUUAUAGGAAUUAUAGGACUAUUUCUCUCUGUACAAUUUGUAUUUUAUAUACCUUCGACUGUUGGAUGUUCUUAUAGGCACUUUAGUAUUGCCAGUGUAACAGUAUAGCUUCCAUCCCUCUCCUCUCUCCUCCCUUACCCAUGCAGAGCAAGGGGAACAACCACCCCGUUAACUAGCUAGCCAUUUCACAUCGGUUACACCAGCCUAAUCUCGGGAGUUGAUAGGCUUGAAGUUAUAAUCUCUCUGUAUUCCAGGUGGAUGGUGACAGUACUCUCAGUAUGGGGUCCAUUUCUCUCUCUGUAUUCCAGGUGGAUGGUAACAGUAGUAGUCUCAGUAUGGGGUCCAUUUCUCUCUCUCUGUAUUCCAGGUGGAUGGUAACAGUACUCUCAGUAUGGGGACCAUUUCUCUCUCUCUGUAUUCCAGGUGGAUGGUAACAGUAGUAGUCUCAGUAUGGGGUCCAUUUCUCUCUCUGUAUUCCAGGUGGAUGGUAACAGUAGUAGUCUCAGUAUGGGGUCCAUUUCUCUCUCUCUGUAUUCCAGGUGGAUGGUAACAGUAGUAGUCUCAGUAUGGGGUCCAUUUCUCUCUCUCUGUAUUCCAGGUGGAUGGUAACAGUAGUACUCUCAGUAUGGGGUCCAUUUCUCUCUCUCUGUAUUCCAGGUGGAUGGUAACAGUAGUACUCUCAGUAUGGGGUCCAUUUCUCUCUCUCUGUAUUCCAGGUGGAUGGUAACAGUAGUACUCUCAGUAUGGGGUCCAUUUCUCUCUCUGUAUUCCAGGUGGAUGGUAACAGUAGUACUCUCAGUAUGGGGUCCAUUUCUCUCUCUGUAUUCCAGGUGGAUGGUAACAGUAGUACUCUCAGUAUGGGGUCUAUUUCUCUCUCUCUGUAUUCCAGGUGGAUGGUAACAGUAGUACUCUCAGUAUGGGGUCCAUUUCUCUCUCUCUGUAUUCCAGGUGGAUGGUAACAGUAGUACUCUCAGUAUGGGGUCCAUUUCUCUCUCUCUGUAUUCCAGGUGGAUGGUAACAGUACUCUCAGUAUGGGGUCCAUUUCUCUCUCUCUGUAUUCCAGGUGGAUGGUAACAGUAGUACUCUCAGUAUGGGGUCCAUUUCUCUCUCUGUAUUCCAGGUGGAUGGUAACAGUAGUACUCUCAGUAUGGGGUCUAUUUCUCUCUCUCUGUAUUCCAGGUGGAUGGUAACAGUAGUACUCUCAGUAUGGGGUCCAUUUCUCUCUCUCUGUAUUCCAGGUGGAUGGUAACAGUAGUAGUCUCAGUAUGGGGUCCAUUUCUCUCUCUCUGUAUUCCAGGUGGAUGGUAACAGUACUCUCAGUAUGGGGUCCAUUUCUCUCUCUCUGUAUUCCAGGUGGAUGGUAACAGUAGUACUCUCAGUAUGGGGUCCAUUUCUCUCUCUCUGUAUUCCAGGUGGAUGGUAACAGUACUCUCAGUAUGGGGUCCAUUUCUCUCUCUCUGUAUUCCAGGUGGAUGGUAACAGUACUCUCAGUAUGGGGUCCAUUUCUCUCUCUCUGUAUCCCAGGUGGAUGGUAACAGUAGUCUCAGUAUGGGGUCCAUGUCUCUCUCUCUGUAUUCCAGGUGGAUGGUAACAGUAGUCUCAGUAUGGGGUCCAUUUCUCUCUCUCUGUAUUCCAGGUGGAUGGUAACAGUAGUACUCUCAGUAUGGGGUCCAUUUCUCUCUCUGUAUUCCAGGUGGAUGGUAACAGUACUCUCAGUAUGGGGUCCAUUUCAAGCAGUUGAAGCGUCUGGUGGAGGAGCUAUCGUUCAGCCAGAUCCUGAUCCCUCUGCAGUCUGUCCUCAUCCCCACACUGCCCUCUACUGGCCCUGCAAACACACUGCACCUCAACGCAUUCCCCGGACACUGGGCCUACCUCCAUGGCUUUGACGAUACUGUGGAGAUCCUAGCCUCCCUCCAGGAGCCCAAGAAAAUCGGCCUGAAGGGACGUGAUGGGAGGAGCUACACUGUGAUGUGUAAACCUAAAGAUGACCUCCGGAAAGACUGUCGCCUCAUAGAAUUCAACUGCCUCAUCAACAAGUGUACUGAAGACAUUUCUCCCAUGACCCUCUGGUAGAGUGGAGUAAACCCAAAGGACGAUCCAAGACACAGGCCAGUGAGAAUGGAGAGAUAGUCAACGAGAAGGCCACUACCUGAUACAGGAGGCUACCGACGACAAAAACUACUGUGUCAGAUGUACCUGGGCUGGGGACCUUACCUGUGAUACACAUGGCUUCUCUGAGACACUGUUUACAAUGUUCAAUAUUUGACUUGUUCUGUUAUCAAUGACAUUCUCUUCCUUUUUCAUGUUUUUGUAAAUCUGGAAUAAUUGUUAUGUUUUUCAUGGGGCAGUUGCAAAUUUUACCGUAAUAAAAAAAUAUAUAUUUU